CUGGGAAGUCUACCACCAACCUAUAGGAACCGUUCGUGGAGGAUGAACAUACUUUAAAACAGGUUGGCGAGGAAGACUUCCCAGAUGACAUUUGAGAAGAAACCUGAAUGAUGUGAGGAAACCAUGAGGAUAUCUAGGGAAGAGUCUUCCAGGCAGAGGGAAAAGCCAGUGCAAAGGCCCUGAGACAAGCACUAAGCUUUGCAUAUUUGAGGAACAGAGAAGUGUGCAGCUGUGACGGUAACGGGUGGCUGAUGCGGAGAUGGAGGGGAGUUGAGGGCAGAGAGGUCGGAGGGGAAACCGCGGAGGAGCCCACCCGGGCCUCUGGGCCCCACACCAGGCCUGAGCUUCCCGCUACUCACUGCAGUGGGCGAAGACCGGCAGGACCUGCC
Long non-coding RNA from Hippopotamus amphibius kiboko, 389 nucleotides. RefSeq lists it as uncharacterized. The transcript is spliced from 3 exons. The record is from RefSeq and is a predicted model, not a curated record. Lineage: Eukaryota; Metazoa; Chordata; Mammalia; Artiodactyla; Hippopotamidae.